This 253-nucleotide ribosomal RNA is filed under the name uncultured bacterium. RNAcentral describes it as "partial 16S ribosomal RNA". It matches the Rfam family "Bacterial small subunit ribosomal RNA", at positions 524 to 776 of the family's 1533-position model. The record is from RNAcentral.
UACGGAGGAUGCGAGCGUUAUCCGGAAUCACUGGGUUUAAAGGGUGCGUAGGCGGGUUAUUAAGUCAGAGGUGAAAUCUGGUCGCUUAACGAUCAAACUGCCUUUGAAACUGAUAGUCUUGAAAUAUGGUGAGGUUGGCGGAAUGUGACAUGUAGCGGUGAAAUGCAUAGAUAUGUCAUAGAACACCAAUUGCGAAGGCAGCUGACUGGCCAUUAUUUGACGCUGAGGCACGAAAGCGUGGGGAGCGAACAGG